UGUGAGAAUAACAAGUGAUAAAGGUUCAGUGGGGAAAAAAUCGUAACUGAUGUCUAUUACCGCAUUACCGAGGUACGGGGAAAUGAGGGUGAAAUUUGACAUUUUUUCUUAAAACGUUGUCUUACGUGAUUCGUGUACGAACAGACGAAUUUAUUUCGUUUUAUAGAAUAAAACAACUAAUCUCUGAAACGGCUGGGCCGAUUUUGACGAGAUUUUCACUGCCAGAUAGCUGAUGUAAUAAGGAGUAACUUUGCCUAUAUUUUAUUUUAGAAAUUUAUUUAUUUAUUAAUUCUGCAAACUGAACAAUAACUUUUUUGUUAAAUUCCACGCGGACAAAGUCGCGGGCAAAGCUAGUUAAUAUAUAAAUAACUAAAAAUAUAAUGAAAAAUCAUUUUAAUGUGAUAGAUACAACUUGUACCGAUUUUGAAAAUGGUUUCACCUGGAGAUUGCUAAUUUGUCACUCAGUGACAUAGGCUAUAUUUAUAUGGAAGAAAUUGGAAAACAAAAUUGUGCCCCUCGGGCGAAUCUGCGGAUUAAAUGCUAGUUAUUAAUAAUAGUUCGCACACAUUUACCGAUUGUAUUACGAGCCAUUGUUUUUCCAAAAUCGUAAAAUUCAGGGAUAAAUUUGUGAUAUCGUCUGCAAAGGUCUUCUAAAUGAAUAAAGGUGUUUUUGAUGAAAUACAAACACAAAGUCUAUGUGUACAACUCUUAACACGUAGUUAAUAGUAAAGACACUGUAGUCAAAUGAAAAUAGAAUCAAGCAUUAGCUUAAUAGUUAAAGGAGCUCCUGGGAGUGAUUUAUGAGUAGGGUCGGCCACGCACUUGCAAUGUUUCUGGUAUUGCAGACGUCUAUAGGCUACGGUGAUCGCUUACCAUCAGGGGAGCCCGACGCUUUUUUGCCAAACUAGUUGUAUAAUAAAAAAAG
This 925-nucleotide unclassified non-coding RNA is filed under the name Melitaea cinxia (Glanville fritillary). Its description in RNAcentral is "misc RNA ENSMCXG00005008143.1". Lineage: Eukaryota; Metazoa; Arthropoda; Insecta; Lepidoptera; Nymphalidae. The record is from RNAcentral.